CUAUGGGCGAUCCUUUGCCCUUGAGUGUGCUAGCCUUAACCGGUCCAGAGGGCUACUGGAAAGAUCCCCAAGUGUCUCCCCAGCGCGUCUGUAAAGCCAAUGAGCUCAUCACUGUCAAUUUGGAUGUUCCUAGUAGAGGAAGAGAUGUUUCUGGCGAUUCUGCUAGAAGUAGGACCAAGGAAGGCUUGUCUAGCAGCCAAACUGGGAUGCC
This 211-nucleotide long non-coding RNA is filed under the name Linum usitatissimum (flax). RNAcentral describes it as "long non-coding RNA (LUSI_LNC000131)". The record is from RNAcentral. Lineage: Eukaryota; Viridiplantae; Streptophyta; Magnoliopsida; Malpighiales; Linaceae.